RNAcentral lists this ribosomal RNA (848 nucleotides) under uncultured bacterium. RNAcentral's name for it is "bacterial SSU rRNA". It matches the Rfam family "Bacterial small subunit ribosomal RNA", at positions 54 to 907 of the family's 1533-position model. The record is from RNAcentral.
CAUGCAAGUCGAGCGGAGAAAUAGGGUAGCUUGCUAUCAUAUUUCUUAGCGGCGGACGGGUGAGUAACACGUGGAUAACCUGCCUUUAACAGGGGGAUAACAUAGGGAAACCUGUGCUAAUACCGCAUAACACAUAAACAUGGCAUCAUGGAAAUGUCAAAGGAGCAAUCCGGUUAGAGAUGGAUCCGCGUCCGAUUAGCUAGUUGGUGAGGUAAAGGCCCACCAAGGCGACGAUCGGUAGCCGAACUGAGAGGUUGAACGGCCACAUUGGAACUGAGAGACGGUCCAGACUCCUACGGGAGGCAGCAGUGGGGAAUAUUGCGCAAUGGGGGGAACCCUGACGCAGCAACGCCGCGUGAAGGAAGAAGGCCUUCGGGUUGUAAACUUCUUUAGACAGGGACGAAAAAAAUGACGGUACCUGAAGAAUAAGCCACGGCUAACUACGUGCCAGCAGCCGCGGUAAUACGUAGGUGGCAAGCGUUGUCCGGAAUUACUGGGUGUAAAGGGCGUGUAGGCGGGUAGACAAGUCAGAUGUGAAAUACCGAGGCUUAACCUCGGGGCUGCAACUGAAACUGUAUAUCUUGAGUAUCGGAGAGGAAAGCGGAAUUCCCAGUGUAGCGGUGAAAUGCGUAGAGAUUGGGAGGAACACCAGUGGCGAAGGCGGCUUUCUGGACGAAAACUGACGCUGAUGCGCGAAAGCGUGGGGAGCAAACAGGAUUAGAUACCCUGGUAGUCCACGCUGUAAACGAUGAAUACUAGGUGUAGGGGGUAUCGAACCCCUCUGUGCCGGAGUUAACACAAUAAGUAUUCCACCUGAGGAGUACGACCGCAAGGUUGAAACUCAAAGG